AAGAAACAACAGGUGGAACUGUAUCUUUCAUUGCCUUUAUUUUUCAUUUUAUUUAGUGUCUAACAAGUAAAUGAAAUAAAUGACGUGAAGGAUUCUUCUUUCUGGAGAACCAGAUGCUGUGAACAAACGCCUUAUCCACCUUGCCUGAUGUAUCAAUAUCUGAAAUAUGUUGCUACCACAACUACAGUUUGCAACCCUACAAAGCCAGCAACUGACCUACCUGGAGCUCUCAACUGUUUAGUCACCUGGUCAGGUAUUUGAUUGAGAACUCCUCAUAUAGUGAAGUGCUUUAGAAUUUACAGCUGCUGCAGUGAAAAAUCAAUAGCAAAACUCUACAAGACUCCUAUGGCAGCAGAAAAAGCAUCAAGAAAAGUGGCUGUGACACUAUACAUCACUAUUCUGCAGUACUGCAACACUUCUUGGAGAGAGCCCUGGCCUUGAACUUCAAGUUAUGAGUCAAAGGGAUACCUCUUCAUUGUCUUACUCCACAGAGCUGCUCCUACUUCAGCGCAGUACUCGCUGAUGUCGUAUAGCCACCGUUUGAUUGUCUUCUGGAACAUCUCCAAAACUGAAUUCACUUGUUGAGAAUCUUGGCACAGUUUCUGCAAAAAGCAAGCCUGCUUCAGCACAACACUGAGCACAGGAUCCAGCCGUCUGUGUGGAUUGCAACAGUACAUCAACAAUUGAUGCUAACAUGGCAGUGAUUUUUACUGUACCUGAAUCACAUGACUGAGGAGAUGCUUUUCAUCAAAGCCCUUUUGAAAUUGAAGGCUUCAGCUCCACUAGCAAUAGCUAGUGGAAUAGCAAAAGAUGCAACACUGCAAAAUUUCAUUUUGAUUUAUUUAAAGCACUAUUUCUUUCACAAGUCUUCUGGAAGAAUAAUCCUAAAAUAAGGGAAGUCUCCUGUCUCCAGAAGCAGCCAGCAGUGGAUACCAAGCUAAACCCAAGAGAAACUAACAAAUUGAGAGCAAACAUGAAGUGAUGCUUCAUCAGAAUAAUCUCCGUCUCCAGCUAUUUGAACCUUCCCCAGCCAGAUAUGCUUGUAUUCAUUAUUAUGAUUUCUAUUUAACAGUUCUUAGGGUAUUUUUUCCUCCCAGUAAUUUUACAUGCUGUUUUUGAAUUGAUGUGAACUUUUAGCACCCAUAACCCCUUGCAGCAAGAAAAUGCACAGCUUCACAGCACACCACAUCAAGAACAGUCUUCUGUUUGUUUUAUGCCCUUCACCUAGACUCUCCUUUGGAUAAUCCCAUAAUUCUUUUACAGCAAGAGGCAGUGAAAAACUCUUCUCUGCCAUUCUUGAUUUACAGACUCUAUAUUAUAUCAUUAGUUUGGUCUUGUCCAAGUGGACAAUGUUAGACUAUCUACAUGUUCCUGUUAUGCAUUUUGUAUCUUACGAUCCUUAUUGAUCUUCUUGGAACCCUUCCUUGUUCUUCUAUAUUGCUUCUGAAAUGGAGAGUAUUCAAAAUGAAGACGCAUACCAGGGAUUUCAAAAUAACAUAACAUCUUUUUUGCUUUGUUGUUUUUCAACAGUAUAUGUGAAAAUUCCAUCAGUAACUGCAUGGAUAAAACUCUUCUUGUUCUACUUCAUAAGUUCUUGGCAACUGACAUUUCUUUCUGUUCCAUUCUGUAAUUUCCUCCUGCCAUUCUGUAAUUUUCCCUAAAUGACCUGCAGCCCGAGAGCUAUGAAAUUCCUUUAUAUUGCUUGCAGCUCUUUAAAAGUUGGAAUAACAAUGUCAUUUUGUAAAAUAACACCUUAGAAGAAUUUUUCUUGCAUGAGUGGACUGAAACACAAAAGACUUCCUUAUAUAUAUGUUAUUUUAACAUUAGAAUUACUAUAGUUUGUGUCUGUAUAAUCUGAAAUUGCCUAAUUAUCUUACCAAGUUUGUCACUUUCUAAAAGGCUCUUCAUUCAUCCCAGCAUUGCUACUUUGGUUGCUGUCUCAAUUAUUAAAAAUGCCACUAAAGCUUUCAGUUUUGCUACACAGCAAAAUUACUAUCAGCAGCCACUAUACUGACUGUAGUCACAAAUAAGUGUUUUGGAUGGGCAGCUCAGUUCAAGCUUAAACUUUCAAAGUUCAGUCCCACAUUUUGACUGACUAAAAGACAGCUGUAUAACCAAGUUACUAAAAACAUCCCGUCAGGCUGAAAGUAAAAGAAGGACAAGUUCUCGAUCCCAUUUCAUUUUUAUUCCAUCUUGAAUAAAUACCCUACUUGCUCCCAGAUGGGACCCAAAGAAGAAGAAUUAAAAUAUUUUAUCCAGUUUAGACUGAAACAGUCACAAGAUGCAAGCACCAAGGACCAAUUUUGCAAUCUGUAAAAAAGACUGUGUAAUCUUGUUUCAUUCUUGUCAAGUCAGUGUGAGAGUUUUACCCCAUGUACUGUUCAUCUUGUUGCAGGAAUUCUCCCUCUUUUCUCCUCUUUAGUCUCUUGUUUGAGUAACCCUUCAUCAUUUGCUGCUCUUCAAGAUUUUGAGUACAAAGAAAUCUAUGAAAAGUCAUUCCAAAUUGCAUGCAAGUAUUAAUUUGGUGUUACCCCUGGAAAAACAUUUCUAUAAAAAGAAAACAAAACCCAAAUCCCCUCCCCCCCGCCACCACAAACCAAAACCCUACACAAUGCACCCAAACCCCGCCUACCAUGAUAAAAUUGCCUCAGCAUUUUCUUUUUAAUUCCAGGUCAGAAUACUUCCUGCAAAAAGCACAUUAAGUAUUAGGAGAAUUAGAAAAUAAUUAGAGAUGGUUUGCUAGCUUUAUCACUUGUCCAUAGCUUCAAAGAACAGAUGACUCACUUCAUUUAUAAACAUUCAGUAAUUCUGUCUUCUGUUCUAGCUCAAUAAUUUCAUUUUGGGAGGAGGGGAAGGGAGGAAGAAUUUGUGUUUUGCUUGUGCACUUGUCUUCAGGCUUACAGCACAAUUGAAGCAAAUCUUAAAUAAGAUAAUAUUAUAUCUAAUACUGCAUGUGAAUCAAAGUUAGAGGUAUGACCACACUAAAUCAGAUGCUUCUGCCACUUUCAAAGUUAUUUCUUAAGAGAAGGAAAUCAAUCCUUUAUUUAAAUACGUUAUUUGAGUAAUGAAAAAAAGAUGAGAGUUGUAUCAAGUAAGUAACCAUUGGGGGGAAGUCCAACAUUAAAUAUGAAUCAAAAGUUGCUUAAGAGAUGAAAGUAAAUCCCCAGUCAACUCCAGUUCUUAUCAUAGCUGAUUCAAAUAAUGAAUUUAGCAGAUCUAUAUUAAAAAGUUAGCUACCAUUCUAUAUAAUUGGAAGCUGUCUUUAAAAACUAAGCUAGCUUUUUAAGGAUAUAAGCUGACUUACGCUUCUAAGGAAGAAAAGGCAGCAACUCACUCAAAGAAAGGUCAUGCAGGCACCAUAAAUGCAUUUCCCGCACCUCCCUACAAAAAUCACGGAAUAGAUUUGGAUGGAAGGGAGCUCAGAAGGUCACUUGGCCAAUUUCCAGCCCUCUCUCUUCCGUGGCUCCAAACUUGACUAACUUCAGUAUUGCAGCAAGUUCCUCAGGACACUGUCAGCCAAGUUUUGACUGUUCCCAAGGAUGGAGAUUUCAUAUUCUCACUGGGCACCUGUUCCAACAUUUGAUGACGCUCAUUGUGAAAUUUCUUUUUCUAACAUCCCAUUGGAACUUGAUGCAAUUUGUGCCCAUUGUCCAUGCUUUCACUGCUCAAGAGAACAUUUAGAAAAGUUGCUCCUUGCACUGUUUAACAAGAAAAUAAUUCCAGAGUAUUUGUCACAGAGUGAUGGGUUAACAAAAUGAGUCAUCACGCUUUGAAUUAUGGGACUUGUAACAUCAGCUAUCUAAAUUCCAGUAAGUUAUUACUGCUGAUGAAUUAACAUUUGUUGUUUCCACUUAUAGUCACAAAGUGUAGCAGAUAAGGAAAAAUUUUAGCUACUGCCCAGCCCCUAGCAUACAUGGUAUUAGUUGUCAGAAUAAUUACUAGAUAAUAGGAAAUUCAACACAGUACUCAUCCUGAAAUGGCAUUUUUCUUUCCCUUCUAAUUUGUGUGUCAUUCCACUACUUUCUAAAACAUGCUCCACCCUGUACAAAACAGGGGCACCAAUGCCAUUAAGUAACUUCAAAAAAUGCAUCAGUAGAUAAACACAGAAUCGUAAGGAAUAAGAAGAAUUUCACAGCUGUCUCUUGUUCAGUAAUUGGAAAGCGCAGCCUUACUUCAUAUUUAGAUUUAAACUCUUCCUUGUCUGAUGUCUGUCUUCUGAUGUUCUCAGGAAGUCAAAUAUCACAGAGGUUAUAUUAUUAUAACCUUUUACAAAAAGUGAUAUAUCUGAAUAGAUCUAUACCUGGAGUAACUGUAAAAGUGCAUUAUAAAAACCUUUUACUGAUCUGAGUCACAUUUUUUAUGACUAGGAAGUAACAAGACUGGAAGCUGAAUCUGUGUCUCUGAUUUUACAUAUGUGAAUUUAAAUGUCCAGUAGUGUUGAAACUCAACUCAUGUUUGACAACAGUAUGUGUUAAUGAUGUUCAGAAUACGUUCUUACAUUAGAAGAGUAAGAGGCUGUAAACAAAAAGAAUAAAUUAAGAAUGAGAUGUGCCAUUAUA
Long non-coding RNA from Dromaius novaehollandiae (emu), 4559 nucleotides. RefSeq lists it as uncharacterized. NCBI's taxonomy places the organism in Eukaryota, Metazoa, Chordata, Aves, Casuariiformes, Dromaiidae. The record is from RefSeq and is a predicted model, not a curated record. The transcript has 8 exons.